UAUAAAUCUGUGAUUUUUAUUCCAGCCUCAUGAUUUCUGAAUCUGGUUUAGGGUUUGGGAAAAAUGUUGAUUUUAUGAGAGUUUCUGAUUUGAAAAGAAUGAAAUAUGCAAGGGAAAAGGAAAUAAGCUUUUAGAUUAUUGAACAACAGAGUUUAGAGAAGGUUGAGUUGAUCAAAGGUCCUGUUGUGUUCUGUGUUGCUCUAAUGUUUGGGAAGAGUGAUAGGCGUGAAUUCAUUCAAACAAACUCCAACAAAGCCACACUUUGCCUUUGGAGGUAAGAACAAGAUGGGAGUUAGUCAAAAUCUCAAAGAAGUAGAAAUACACCAGGGUCAUGAUGUGCUUGGAAUUGUUAUGGACCAUGAACAUCUAUUUGAUAUGGACUAAAAGCAACGAGUGAUAUGCAUUUUAUACUUAAAAUGAACUUGAUAUCUACAUUUAAGAUGUCAAAUAUUUUACAGCCUUCAUCUAGAAACGGUGCUAGAG
Molecule: long non-coding RNA, 483 nt
Organism: Vicia villosa (hairy vetch)
Lineage: Eukaryota; Viridiplantae; Streptophyta; Magnoliopsida; Fabales; Fabaceae
Exons: 3
Source: RefSeq, a predicted model, not a curated record